RNAcentral lists this ribosomal RNA (420 nucleotides) under uncultured bacterium. RNAcentral's name for it is "bacterial SSU rRNA". It matches the Rfam family "Bacterial small subunit ribosomal RNA", at positions 356 to 773 of the family's 1533-position model. The record is from RNAcentral.
AAGGAAUAUUGGACAAUGGGCGCAAGCCUGAUCCAGCCAUCCCGCGUGCAGGAUGAAUGCCCUACGGGUUGUAAACUGCUUUUGAAGGGGAAGAAACCCCUGCUUUCAAGCGGGGCUGACGGUACCUUUCGAAUAAGCACCGGCUAACUCCGUGCCAGCAGCCGCGGUAAUACGGAGGGUGCAAGCGUUAUCCGGAAUCACUGGGUUUAAAGGGUGCGUAGGCGGCUUGGUAAGUCAGGGGUGAAAGCCUCCCGCUCAACGGGAGGACUGCCUUUGAUACUGCCGGGCUUGAAUCAGGCCGAGGGCAGCGGAAUGUGGCAUGUAGCGGUGAAAUGCAUAGAUAUGCCAUAGAACACCGAUUGCGAAGGCAGCUGCCUGGGCCUGGAUUGACGCUGAGGCACGAAAGCGUGGGGAGCGAAC